RNAcentral lists this long non-coding RNA (95 nucleotides) under Fukomys damarensis (Damara mole-rat). Its description in RNAcentral is "lncRNA (ENSFDAG00000025797.1)". Lineage: Eukaryota; Metazoa; Chordata; Mammalia; Rodentia; Bathyergidae. The record is from RNAcentral.
GACUCAGCUGGGGUCUGUCCCUCUGUCACCUUUUCUCCCGCACUGCUUUACCAUGUGACUGGCUCAACCUCAAGUGUUUCAUUCGUGUUCCCUAC